AUUUCUUGAAAUUCUUGAAAUUUUGUUUUUUCUCCACCUAUUCCCUAAUUUCUUCUUUUUUGAGAACCAAACUUUUUCUAAGUUCUAGAAAUAUUUGAGGGAAAAAAAUUAUUUUUUUUCUAUCUUAAGAGCUACCUUAUUCCUUUUCCCUCUAUCAAAUUCUUCCCAAUCUCUCUAUUUUCAAUUUCUACCCUGUUAGGGUUCUUUUCUCUAUUCCUUCUUAAAAUUCUUGAAAUCCUUAUUUCUGCCUCAACUUUUCUUCCCUUGUCCCUAUAAUUUUCUUCUCUUAAAAGCAAAAUUUUUUGACAUCCUACCCAACCUUCUGCAAGAUAAUCAUGGAAGACCAACCGUGGGAACAAAAGUUAAAUAAUAGAAUUAUGGAAAUUGUCGAUAGAGGAUUAAAAGGGCAGGAAGAAUUGCCAUUACAAAAAUUAGAGAAAUAUGA
RNAcentral lists this unclassified non-coding RNA (445 nucleotides) under Hevea brasiliensis (rubber tree). The record is from RNAcentral. Lineage: Eukaryota; Viridiplantae; Streptophyta; Magnoliopsida; Malpighiales; Euphorbiaceae.